AGAGUUUGUUGUGCUGGGUUCACAUGUCAUAGACUGAGUGGCAGAGUGAGCAUUGCAAUCUGGAGUUUUUGACUAGUGCCUUUCCACUUCAGUGCCUCUGGGAAACACAGGCUAGGUCUUACCACAUCCAUGACUGGCACUUGAAUGUGAGUUUGUUUAUCCUUCCUUUGUGAAAACUAGGUUUCAUAGUGGAGAAGAGGACACUUCAGUAUCUAAGGCGGACCUGAGGUUAGGAAUAGAAAGCAGAGAGAAGAGGUCGGACUUCAUCCAGAGCCAGCCUGGAAACAUCAAUUUCCAACGUGCGCGAAUACCGUCGCGCGAAGUUGUGGCCGUUUUGAGGGCAGUAACGGCAUCAGCAAUACCAGCAAACUGGGGAAAAGCUGCACCACAGACAGCGACAGACACAGGCUUUUUGGAACCUCAAACAGAGCGGAAGGAAAAUGGCAGAUGCUCUGCUGAAGUUUGAGGAAACACAGUUUUAUAAUCAAAGCUUGAUGGAGAAAGAAACUAGUCAUGUGACCAUUUGCCAAAAUAACAUAAGAAAUCAAAGAUGGAUCAAAGGACUAAAGUCUAGUUCAUGUAGCUUAUAACCCAUACUGCCAUCCCUCUUUCACUCAAGGAAGGAAUGAUUCGAAGUAAAUCACAACAAAGUGGAUAAAAAAUUAAAACCCUCAACUAUUGGUCCUACUGAUUAUGGCUCGAUGAUUUUACAUUUGGAUUUGGGAGAUUACAAAUUUGUCAGGUCUUCAAGCAAAGAGAGUCAUCUUCAGGCUUGGGCAAGAUUUCCCAACACCAGUGAAAUGUUUUGAAGAAGGAACAUGGUCCUUCCUACCCAGUGCAACCCCACUUCUUCACUCUGUCAAGGAUGUGGCUUAAGGUUUUCUGUUUGCUGCUCCCAGUGACAGAUGCCUUUCUUCUUAUAAUUGUAAUUUGCACAUCUGAUUAUUUAAGAGCAAGACUAUAAUCGGAGGGUGGGAAGGGAUGGGAUUUCAAAAUUGUAGAAUAGAUAAACAAGAUUAUACUUUAUAGCACGGGGAAAUAUACACAAGAUCUUAUGGUAGCUCACAGAGGAAAAAAUGUGACAAU
RNAcentral lists this long non-coding RNA (1086 nucleotides) under Camelus dromedarius (Arabian camel). RNAcentral's name for it is "lncRNA (ENSCDRG00005006928.1)". The record is from RNAcentral. Lineage: Eukaryota; Metazoa; Chordata; Mammalia; Artiodactyla; Camelidae.